This 468-nucleotide ribosomal RNA is filed under the name uncultured bacterium. RNAcentral describes it as "partial 16S ribosomal RNA". It matches the Rfam family "Bacterial small subunit ribosomal RNA", at positions 28 to 507 of the family's 1533-position model. The record is from RNAcentral.
GACGAACGCUGGCGGCGUGCUUAACACAUGCAAGUCGAACGGAAAGGCCCUGCUUUUGUGGGGUGCUCGAGUGGCGAACGGGUGAGUAACACGUGAGUAACCUGCCCUUGACUUUGGGAUAACUUCAGGAAACUGGGGCUAAUACCGGAUAGGAGCUCCUGCUGCAUGGUGGGGGUUGGAAAGUUUCGGCGGUUGGGGAUGGACUCGCGGCUUAUCAGCUUGUUGGGGGGGUAGUGGCUUACCAAGGCUUUGACGGGUAGCCGGCAGGGGAGGGUGACCGGCAAGGGGGGAAGAGAAAUGCGGGCGGGCCUACGGCGGGGGAAAGAGGUGGGGAUUGUAGCAGAGUGGGCGGAGGCAGAGAGCAGCACCGCCGGGGGGGGGAGGGCGGCUUUGGGUUUGAAAACCGCUUCCCCCGGGGAAGAAGGGGGAGGGAGGUAAAGGGAAAAGAAAGCACGGACAAACUCCGUC